This 207-nucleotide ribosomal RNA is filed under the name uncultured bacterium. Its description in RNAcentral is "partial 16S ribosomal RNA". It matches the Rfam family "Bacterial small subunit ribosomal RNA", at positions 568 to 774 of the family's 1533-position model. The record is from RNAcentral.
CACGUAGGCGGAUAGUUAAGUUAGAGGUGAAAGCCCAGGGCUCAACCCUGGAACUGCCUUUGAUACUGGCUGUCUAGAGAUCGAGAGAGGUGAGUGGAAUUCCGAGUGUAGAGGUGAAAUUCGUAGAUAUUCGGAGGAACACCAGUGGCGAAGGCGGCUCACUGGCUCGAUACUGACGCUGAGGUGCGAAAGCGUGGGGAGCAAACA